GACAGAGGCCUCAAGCGUUAGGCGGAAUCACUGGGCUUAAAGCGUGUGUAGGCGGAUGCCUAAGUACCUUGUGAAAUCCCACGGCUCAACCGUGGAACGGCUGGGUAUACUGGGCGUCUUGGGCCAUUCAGGGGCGACUGGAACAAGCGGUGGAGCGGUGAAAUGCGUAGAUAUCGCUUGGAACGCCGAAGGUGAAAACAGGUCGCUGGGGAUGUGCCGACGCUGAGACACGAAAGCCAGGGGAGCAAACGGG
This 253-nucleotide ribosomal RNA is filed under the name uncultured bacterium. Its description in RNAcentral is "partial 16S ribosomal RNA". It matches the Rfam family "Bacterial small subunit ribosomal RNA", at positions 524 to 776 of the family's 1533-position model. The record is from RNAcentral.